UAGGGAAUCUUCCACAAUGGACGCAAGUCUGAUGGAGCAACGCCGCGUGAGUGAAGAAGGUCUUCGGAUCGUAAAACUCUGUUGUUAGAGAAGAACAUGAGUGAGAGUAACUGUUCAUUCGAUGACGGUAUCUAACCAGCAAGUCACGGCUAACUACGUGCCAA
RNAcentral lists this ribosomal RNA (164 nucleotides) under uncultured bacterium. RNAcentral describes it as "partial 16S rRNA". It matches the Rfam family "Bacterial small subunit ribosomal RNA", at positions 355 to 511 of the family's 1533-position model. The record is from RNAcentral.